This 294-nucleotide unclassified non-coding RNA is filed under the name Bombus terrestris (buff-tailed bumblebee). RNAcentral's name for it is "misc RNA ENSBTSG00005025464.1". The record is from RNAcentral. Lineage: Eukaryota; Metazoa; Arthropoda; Insecta; Hymenoptera; Apidae.
AUCUCGUGUAAUUGGGGAAUCUAGACAGAAGAAACAGUGGCAAAAAAUACUAUUUGCAAGGGGAUCUUUGAAUUUCCUUUUCACAGUCACUAGAUUAGAGAAACAGAUCUGAAUAAUGUAAAUCGAUCGAAGAAAAACUACAAACGAAACGUUGCGUCAACAAAUCUUUGGUCCUUAAUGUGUUAAGCGACGAUACGCAGAAAUUGUGCAAGUACUUUGACCUGAUGUAAUUUCGCUUAGCUACCGUCAGACUCGAAACGUUUUAUAGGUGAACAGUAAAAGAUUUUACAACAG